This 73-nucleotide transfer RNA is filed under the name Holosporaceae bacterium. Its description in RNAcentral is "tRNA-Thr". It matches the Rfam family "tRNA". Rfam says of the family: Transfer RNA (tRNA) molecules are approximately 80 nucleotides in length. Their secondary structure includes four short double-helical elements and three loops (D, anti-codon, and T loops). The record is from RNAcentral. Lineage: Bacteria; Pseudomonadati; Pseudomonadota; Alphaproteobacteria; Holosporales; Holosporaceae.
GCCGAGCUAGCUCAGCUGGUAGAGCAACUGAUUUGUAAUCAGUAGGUCGAGGGUUCGAGUCCCCCGCUCGGCA